This 498-nucleotide ribosomal RNA is filed under the name uncultured bacterium. RNAcentral describes it as "partial 16S ribosomal RNA". It matches the Rfam family "Bacterial small subunit ribosomal RNA", at positions 28 to 508 of the family's 1533-position model. The record is from RNAcentral.
GAUGAACGCUGGCGGCGUGCCUAAUACAUGCAAGUCGAGCGAACGGACGAGAAGCUUGCUUCUCUGAUGUUAGCGGCGGACGGGUGAGUAACACGUGGAUAACCUACCUAUAAGACUGGGAUAACUUCGGGAAACCGGAGCUAAUACCGGAUGAUAUUUUGAACCGCAUGGUUCAAAAGUGAAAGACGGUCUUGCUGUCACUUAUAGAUGGAUCCGCGCUGCAUUAGCUAGUUGGUAAGGUAACGGCUUACCAAGGCAACGAUGCAUAGCCGACCUGAGAGGGUGGACCGGCCACCCGGAAACGGGACAACGUCCAGGCUACUAAGGGAGGCCGCAGUUAGGAAUCUUCCGGAAUGGGCGAAAGGCUGGCGGGACCACGACGGGUGGAUGGUGGAGGUUCUCGGAUCGGAAAACUUUGUUAUUAGGGAAGAAAAUAUGUGUAAGUAACUGUGCCAAUCUUGACAGGUCCUAAUCCAAAAGGCCAGGCUAAACACGUUC